GUAUCUCAGUUAGAAAUAUUCAUAUAUUUCGGUUCGGUUUCAGUUUGACAUUUCUAAAAAUCAUUAAACUGUAAAAAUCAUUAAACUGAAACAACCCAGAGUCUGUGUGCAUUCAAUUUUGGAUUGUGUUAGUUUGAGUUAGCAACCUAAACCUGAUUUGGAUUGAUUCAGCAUAAAUGAACAUGGUUUCGUGAAAGGCUUGUCAAUACUUACCUUUUGAAAAUGGUUAUUAAUUGUUUCAGCUAAAAAAUAUCCGAAUCAAAUCAGACCAAAACUUAUCAAUAUGUUGGAUUCUGUUGGUUUGAAAAUUUUUAUUUUUUUCAAUUUUUUGUUUGGUUUUUAUCUUUCUGAAACCCAUACUUUUAGUGAUUAAAAUAUCACAAAAUCAAUAUAGAAUGUCACACAAUCUUGUUGAUUCUAUGUCUAUAACAAUAUUUUAAAAAAAAAAAACGUAAAAUAUUUGAAAUGCUUCCCAUAAAAUCUUAAAUAAUCCCAUGGAUCUUGACUUUAUAAGCAAAACUUUAAAGGUUGAAGCUUUAUUUUGGUGAAAAUACUUGAAGAAAAGUGAAACCUGGAGAAUGGUUGGAAGCUAAUAGCCAUAAUGGUCGGUAGGAUGUGAAUUUAAGAAUGUUGUUAUAUUAGCUUUCAACUGUAACUUGUCCUUAAAAUCCUAUUAAAAGUUGGAAAAUAUAAUGUGACGAUCAAUAUUAUACGAUGAUAGUCAAAUUUGGGGUUGGCUGAAGGCAGGGAUUCUGUUGGUCAACCAAGUUUGCAGUCAAUACUACUACCAAAGCAAAUAGUGUUUUGAUGUUUUCGUGGCUGCAUCAGUGUUCGUCGUCAUGAUUGUGGAUGUAGUGUUGCUGAGCAUCCCAGGUGUCAUGUAACAGUCGUGCCAAGCAUGAAUUGGUAUCAAAUCAGAAUUUUCUACAAUGUAGUGAAAUUAAAUGACAACACUAAUACUUUAUAUGAAUAAAUGAUUUGAUAUCGUUGAAAGAUGUUUUUACCUUUUUUCUUGUUCACAAAAGGUAUACCCAAGUUGGAGUUCCGGCAAACACCAAGAAGUCUCCAUUUUUAACACAAAGAAACUACCAAAGUUAGGGAUUGCUUGUAUGCAAUUUAGCUCAAUCCUUGUAUAAAUUAAGAGGUUAUAAUAUUUGUUGAUAGCAUUUGGAAACUUACUAGUGUACCAUCUUUAAUAAUGCUUGUUACUAUGUAAAUAUUUUUAUAUGUGAUACAAGCACGAUUCCCAUAUCAUAGCUCCGUAAAUCAAAUAUGAGCCAUCUAAUUGCAGUGUCAAAUAACAACUGCUCUUUAAUUCAUCAACCCACUGUAACCUAGAUUGGGUAGCACUAUUUCAACUUAAGAAAUAUGCUCAUUAGUAUCGAAUCCCAACUUGCCAAAAAAAUGUUGAACCCGUGGUGAAGUCGGCAACUAUUGGAUACCGAUGAUUUUGUCUUUUAUAGAAAAAUGGAAUUAACUAUAGAUUUGAAGGUAAUGAUGGUAGCAUUUUGCAUGAUUUGGUGCUUUAAGUUAGCAAUUCAGUUUGUUUGGUUUACUAUAUAUUUGUAAGGAUUGCAAUGAUCUGUAAGCAAUCAAUUCUUUUCAGUUCAAAUAAAACAGUACACAUCUAUUUGUUGUCUUCACUUAAAUACUUUCAGUAAGAUUUGGUAGUUCCUUCGCUGAGCACAACAAAAUGAAGAGAAAUGAUUAGUUUGGGAUUGGGAUUUGAGAAACAUGCUAAUAAUUCAUCCUUGCCCUGACUAGGCAAGGUUGGUUGGUUGUUACACGAUCAACUCCUCAAUAGGCGAUUUCACGGAGAUUCAUGUCUUUGAGCUGUGGUGCUGCAGAUAUGUUUUUGAUUGGUGGGAAGUAAUUCCUACUGUUCCAUUGGCAACGGGAUACAAAUUGGCUUCACAUUGUAACAGUCUUAUUUACCAUAGAAGAUUUCGACUUAUCUAUCAGUAUGUUUUCUGUGUGAAUAAGGGUAUCAGUAUGUUUUCUCUGUCAGUUUGAUGCUCUGUUUCUAUUGCAUAUGCUUAUGUGACUUGUUGUCGACAUACUUCAAGAUGACUGAGACUUGAUGCUCCACUAUUUGUUCAAAAGUUUGAUGCUGAUAUCAUGUUUUCCUA
Populus trichocarpa (black cottonwood) is the source of this 2129-nucleotide long non-coding RNA. RefSeq lists it as uncharacterized. The record is from RefSeq and is a predicted model, not a curated record. The transcript is spliced from 2 exons. Lineage: Eukaryota; Viridiplantae; Streptophyta; Magnoliopsida; Malpighiales; Salicaceae.